Molecule: ribosomal RNA, 402 nt
Filed under: uncultured bacterium
Lineage: Bacteria
Description: bacterial SSU rRNA
Rfam family: Bacterial small subunit ribosomal RNA
Source: RNAcentral
UGGGGAAUAUUGGACAAUGGGGGAAACCCUGAUCCAGCAAUGCCGCGUGAGUGAAGAAGGCCUUAGGGUUGUAAAGCUCUUUCACCCGCGAAGAUAAUGACGGUAGCGGGAGAAGAAGCCCCGGCUAACUCCGUGCCAGCAGCCGCGGUAAUACGGAGGGGGCUAGCGUUGUUCGGAAUUACUGGGCGUAAAGCGUACGUAGGCGGAUGCGCAAGUUGGGGGUGAAAUCCCGGGGCUUAACCUCGGAAUUGCCCUCAAAACUGCACGUCUUGAGACCGAGUGAGGUCAGGGGAAUUCCUAGUGUAGAGGUGAAAUUCGUAGAUGUUAGGAAGAACACCAGUGGCGAAGGCGCCUUACUGGCUCGGUACUGACGCUGAGGUACGAAAGCGUGGGGAGCAAACA